Molecule: ribosomal RNA, 447 nt
Filed under: uncultured bacterium
Lineage: Bacteria
Description: bacterial SSU rRNA
Rfam family: Bacterial small subunit ribosomal RNA
Source: RNAcentral
GCCAGACUCCUACGGGAGGCAGCAGUGGGGAAUAUUGCACAAUGGGGGAAACCCUGAUGCAGCGACGCCGCGUGAGUGAAGAAGUAAUUCGUUAUGUAAAGCUCUAUCAGCAGGGAAGAAAAUGACGGUACCUGAGUAAGAAGCCCCGGCUAACUACGUGCCAGCAGCCGCGGUAAUACGUAGGGGGCAAGCGUUAUCCGGAUUUACUGGGUGUAAAGGGAGCGUAGACGGCACUGCAAGUCCGGAGUGAAAGCCCAAGGCUUAACCAUGGGACUGCUCUGGAAACUGGGGAGCUUGAGUGCGGGAGGGGCAGGCGGAAUUCCUAGUGUAGCGGUGAAAUGCGUAGAUAUCAGGAGGAACACCGGCGGCGAAGGCGGCUUACUGGACGGCAACUGACGUUGAGGCCCGAAAGCGUGGGGAGCGAACAGGAUUAGAUACCCGAGUAUU